RNAcentral lists this long non-coding RNA (307 nucleotides) under Helianthus annuus (common sunflower). RNAcentral's name for it is "Bacterial small subunit ribosomal RNA". It matches the Rfam family "Bacterial small subunit ribosomal RNA", at positions 115 to 394 of the family's 1533-position model. Lineage: Eukaryota; Viridiplantae; Streptophyta; Magnoliopsida; Asterales; Asteraceae. The record is from RNAcentral.
UGCUAUUGAUGAAAUGGGAUUCGUUUAUGUUUAUAAACUGAAACUCGUUUUCCUUGAUAGUUAAAAAUCUUCCAUGCUUGUUUUAUCUUAUACGGCCUGUAUACACCAUGUUAAAAUAAGAUUUUACCAUGUGUUAUUAUUAACACCCUUAAAUAAACAUUUACUUUUAUAAAAAAAUACGAUGCUUUAUUGAUUAUAGCUAGUCUGAGGAAUGAUCAACCACACUGGGACUGAGACACGGCCCAGACUCCUACAGGAGGCAGCAGCGGGGAAUUUUUUGUAAAAGGCCGAAAGCCUGACGAAGCAA